CUAACCCAGUUACAUUCACUGGUGCUGCGGUCGUUACGUCCACAUCGACUGAAACACCAAAACCUGCUUCUGAAUCUCUUCAGGAAUAAAUCAGUGAUAAUCAAGAUUUCAGCAAAAACAUUACUCACAGAACACUCGCUAACUAGCGUAGCACUAGCGAGUUAGCCUAGCGUGCUAAUGUUAAGAGAAUUAACAUGUGGACUGUCGACUCUUUUUUGGUACGUCCUUCAUAAUAAAUGGUUUGCAGAAUUUUUCACAUUACAUGUUAGAAAUUACACAAAUAAAGAUCAAAGGAACGUUAAGAGUUGUGAAUAUGACAUGUUCAUCAUCUGAAAGAUUAUUGCAGUUAUCUGCUCUUUCUCUGUUAAUAAUGUUAUAGAGAGAAGGUCUAGACCUGCUCUAUUUCAAAAGUGCAGAGACCUCCUGUUUUAAACCCAAUUUGCAUAUAUUUGCAUAUGUAAAUGUAAUGAGCUUAUAACAGAAGAGCUGUAAGGACAAAAUGCAUUUAUGAGACCUGAUUUGAAACGAAACAUAUUCUAGUUUCUGAAAAUGUGCUUGUUUUGCAUGUGACUCCAACCUAAACUACAUCAGCUCAUACAUGGUGUUUUUUAGUAUUUUUCAGUCCUCGCCUGUAAAAAAGUCACAUUACAUAACAACCAACAGGAUCUACUUUAUACAAGAACAGUGAAAAAGCUCCACAGUACUUUUACAUCUUGUCAGAAACUGCUCUGUGAAGCUUCAAGGCCUCUAGGACUAAUAGUUUAGUUUAGUAAAGCUUUAUAGUUUAUUUUCGACUGGCGCCCAUAAACCUCUCUAAAGGAAAACUGGGAGAAAUGUGCUUUAACUCUUUAAUAUGAAAUAACAGAAAACAUGAAGCAUUUUCCUUUAGGAACCAUUAAAACAGAGCUGAUCCCUGCUCUCAGCUGUUUCCACAUCUCUCAAAGCCUAUUGGUCUUCACUCUGAAGUGCCCUCCCCCCUAGUUCGCUCUGAUUGGUCAGGGGAGACGUCUAUCUACAAGCUAGAGUCAUUCGGAAACGCUGUGAGAAGAAAAACUUUUUUUUCUCAAACUUCUUGCGCUAGUUAGCUCUCGGUUACGCUCGGUUACGCUCGGUUACACUCGGUUACACUCGGUUACACUCGCCUUCUUCCCCCGCCCCCCUGACAUGAAAUCUGAUUGGAUCUUCAGAGGGAGGCCGCCAUUUUGUAGCCAGAGAGCUAACAAACAACAACACACCUGCAGAUGGAGGGAAGGAGGGAGAGCCGUCGCUCGGUCGUCUGCUUCGGACUUCUCACGACAAUAUUCACAACCUGGAAUACUUUUCUAAGGAUCCCUUGUUGUUUCUGAGACCUGUGGACCGUUACGGACUAAAGGAAUACAGAUGACGGAGGAAUGGAGAGGGAACCGGAGUUCUACACGUCUAAACGGUCGGCAGUCACCACAGGUUACCUUUACUUUGAAGGAACCGUCUAAGCGUUUCCGGUGUGGUAUCUCCGGUCUGGGGCUCCUCUGCAGCAUCUCUGUGAGUGACGCUGGGCUCCUGUGGCACCAGAAGAGGGCGCUCACAGUCUGAACCUGGAUAUGAAGCUGGAAGCUGUGUCUGUCCUGGACCGGACCUGGACCGGAGGGGCAGCAUUCAGUAUUCUUUAUGUCUGAAACAACAGUUCAUUUACUACGUGGCAGGGACGCAGGUUUAGGACACGACAAUCCCUCCAAGACCAAGAGGACUUUUUAAAGCCGUCAACCAAAUGGUUUAUUAACGUAUGAUCUGUAUUUACAUUUAA
This is a long non-coding RNA of Seriola aureovittata, 1783 nucleotides long. RefSeq lists it as uncharacterized. Lineage: Eukaryota; Metazoa; Chordata; Actinopteri; Carangiformes; Carangidae. The record is from RefSeq and is a predicted model, not a curated record. The transcript has 4 exons.